RNAcentral lists this ribosomal RNA (570 nucleotides) under uncultured bacterium. RNAcentral's name for it is "partial 16S ribosomal RNA". It matches the Rfam family "Bacterial small subunit ribosomal RNA", at positions 355 to 1375 of the family's 1533-position model. The record is from RNAcentral.
UGGGGAAUAUUGCACAAUGGGCGCAAGCCUGAUGCAGCAACGCCGCGUGAGGGAUGACGGCCUUCGGGUUGUAAAACCUCUUUUAGCAGGGAAGAAGCGAAAGUGACGGUACCUGCAGAAAAAGCACCGGCUAACUACGUGCCAGCAGCCGCGGUAAUACGUAGGGUGCAAGCGUUGUCCGGAAUUAUUGGGCGUAAAGAGCUCGUAGACGGUCUGUCGCGUCUGCUGUGAAAUCCCCGAGGCUCAACCUCGGGCCUGCAGUGGGUACGGGCAGACUAGAGUGCGGUAGGGGAGAAUGGAACUCCUGGUGUAGCGGUGGAAUGCGCAGAUAUCAGGAAGAACACCGAUGGCGAAGGCAGUUCUCUGGGCCGUAACUGACGCUGAGGAGCGAAAGCGUGGGGAGCGAACAGGAUUAGAUACCCUGGUAGUCCACGCCGUAAACGUUGGGCGCUAGAUGUGGGGACCAUUCCACGGUUUCCGUGUCGCAGCUAACGCAUUAAGCGCCCCGCCUGGGGAGUACGGCCGCAAGGCUAAAACUCAAAUGAAUUGACGGGGUCAUAGCUGUUUCCU